Xyrichtys novacula (pearly razorfish) is the source of this 1637-nucleotide non-coding RNA. NCBI's taxonomy places the organism in Eukaryota, Metazoa, Chordata, Actinopteri, Labriformes, Labridae. The record is from the annotation of a GenBank genome assembly.
GUGUGUGUGUGUGUGUGUGUGUGUGUGUGUGUGUGUGUGUGUGUGUGUGGUUGCUGGUGUACACAAUGACAACACUCACACAAACAAAGAUGCACAGUCAUAUUGAAGUGUGGUGGACUUACUGGAUUCCUCCAUGAAGCAUCUCUGAAUAUAUCACACCACAGUACGUCAUAAGUAGGUUGAUCUUGCAUUGCUGCCUUGAUUCCGACAUUUUUUUACAAAGCUGAAACAUACUCCACAGUCUGCUUAUUUAGCCUCUAGGGGAUUCAUGAUUUCAGCGUCUAUACUCAUGAUAAACAGCAUAAAGAGACUGACGGUAUGCAAGAAAACCACAACAGCCAAACUCACAGGAACAUGUACGAAGCCGCACAAGCCCCAACCCUCCACACCUAGAGCUGAAAGAAACAGAUCUCAGAAUAGUGUCCUAGAUUUGACUUCAAGACUCAUGACUCAUACUUGGAGUUAUACUCUGCAUUUAGAUAACAUACUGAACAUGUGUCCAUGAAAUUAAGCAGCAUGUGUAACUUUCUUUGAUUGUUGAUAACAUCUCUGCAAGCAAGCUACUCAUAAAACCACAGUAACAGUAAAACCCUCUGAACUGACUCGACCCCUGGGUCCAGGAUGUAUACAUGGGUGGGUUGCAGGUACUUUUGGUUUAUUAGACACCCGCAGUGAUCCUGUGGAGCAGAAAUCCACGAGCAUGUCUUCCUGAUAAAAGAGGCUCUGUGUGCAGGGAUGCACAGCGCAUCACUUCACUGAGAGUUUAAAUCGGAGCUCAGCUGCAUAUCUGUAUUAUGUAAAACAUUUUUGGUCUUAACCACAUAAAAAAGAUCCAGGAUUAAACUCUGUGGCUCCAUUUUUUUUUUCACUAUGUCAGACUCAAACAAAGUCAGGGAGUCGCAUGGAUGUCACGUGUUCACACACACGGCCUUCCAAACUAAAAUGUCUUAUUUCACUGAUGAAAUUCACGUCAAUAGUUGCUAAAGUAAGACAUAUGGCUAAUUACACUCAACCAUUUCCUGCUUAUUCUCAGACUGCCCUCAUAUAAACUGUGCCCUACAUAAUACACUCAGUCGUACUUGACCGCUCUCUUUUUCUGGCCUGUAAAUGGGUCAGUUCUGUCAGACCACCGGUCAGACAGACUUGGCGAAGGGUUUCUGUGUGUAUUAGUGUGUGUGUUUGUGCAGUGGCGUGAGUUAUAAAUGUGAAAUUCUUUGAGAGCUUUAUAAUAGGGUGCGUUUGUGAAUGAAGCUUCUUGUUGACAUUCAUUCAGAGCGAGUUUUCUUCUGUGAAAGUGAACUGGAGAAAUACAGAGAAAACAGGAUGCUCACAUGAUAAUCUGUAAUAUGUUGUUGUUUUCUCUGAGUCCUGUCACUAGACAUGACACAUUAUGUGUUUUUGUGUGUCUGUUGUCUAGGCUCUGUUGCUGAAAUACCCUUAGGCAGGCCACGGUAAUUUGGAACCUUUAAAUAUGUGAUUAUGGAAACUGUAAGUUAGGAAAUCACUCUCAGUUUAUUCCUCCUCCGAUGUUUUUCAGCAAUAAAUAAUAACACAACAGUUAGAAGCUAAUCCUAAUUAUGAAGCAGUGUGAGGCAAUAGUCAGUGUCUGUGUGUGUUUGUGUCUGAUAAUGUGUGUG